UACGGAAGGUGCAAGCGUUGUUCGGAAUGACUGGGCGUAAAGCGCACGUAGGCGGGUUCGUAAGUCAGAUGUGAAAUCCCCAGGCUCAACCUGGGAACUGCAUUUGAAACUGCGAAUCUUGAAUGCUUGAGAGGUUGGUGGAAUUCCUGGUGUAGGAGUGAAAUCCGUAGAUAUCAGGAGGAAUAUCGGAGGCGAAGGCGGCCAACUGGCGAUGCAUUGACGCUGAGGUGCGAAAGCGUGGGGAGCAAACAGG
Molecule: ribosomal RNA, 253 nt
Filed under: uncultured bacterium
Lineage: Bacteria
Description: partial 16S ribosomal RNA
Rfam family: Bacterial small subunit ribosomal RNA
Source: RNAcentral